AAAUUAUUACCCUCCCUUCCAAAAAAAUGGAAAUAUCACAUACUGUUGGCCCAUGCUCGAAGGUCGUCUCUAUUAUUUUUUUCAGAACUCUUUUACGAGUGGACAGAUAUCGACCUCCCAUGCGCAGGGAUCAUGACGACAGGAAAUUAGAAGUUAAUACCAGAUUUUUCUGUCCUACUAUGUUAUUUGUUAGUAACAAGAAUUAUGAACAACGACAAAUUAAGUAAACGUAACGUCAACAGCUAAAACUGCAUAGUACCUAGUGCGUCGUUACCUGCUUUAUCUGAAAUAUCAACGCCAACGGUGAACUCUGUGUUGGAUUCUACAUGGUUGGCCAGUCCAACGAAAUGUAUUAGCUAUAGCAUACAUCAUCAGUCUGGAAUCAAAGGUCCAUAAAGUCUGCGUGAGCUUCAACAUAGCCGACGUUAGUUUUAGUCUAGAACGCCUUUCAGUAGUAUCUAUCUUCCUCGCCUACAUCCCAGUGCGAUUUAUCUAUCAGCAAAGGCAAUGCCGUCUCCUUCUCGUGAGAAUAACAAGACCAUCGGCCAGCAACAAUUUAUGUGUCCUCACGUAAAUGAUUAGAAAUUUCUUGGUGAAAAAUUACAUCUCGUGAGUCCUCCAAAACAUCUCCAGAAACUAGUUGCUCAGGGGAUCCUUGGCGUUGAUGAAAUUCCGGGGCAAGAGGUUUUGAGAAGCCAUUCCACGGUAAGCAUUUUUCUCGCGAAUCAAAAUCAAACCAAGAGGUAGAGCCAGUUUCAAUAUCGCUGGCAUAACCAUCUUCAUUCACAAUGUUGCCCAAAUGUCAACGCUGAUCUUAAGGAGAAUACCAUACGUUGUUGUCUUCAUUCAUUAACGGCAAAAGCGCCUCUUCCAGAAUUGCAAUUUUAUUUCUUCUCCAGAAAAGAUACCAGAAGGAGCCAAUUCUGAUAGCCUCCCUGAAGGAAGAUUCUUAUGAUAAUAUGAUACAAUUGAUGGUGUACGUAAUCCCCUGAAACAAAAUAUAGUGCCAGGAUCCUCCGUCUCUCUGUUUCGCCACGCACCCGAAUAUAAAUUCGAUUCUUCACUCUCCUUGUCAAAGUCCCAACCUAGCAAGAGGGAAUGCGGUGAUCUUGCACAUGAACUUUCAGUCGGAAAACAUUCUCCAUCCCAUUCUUUAAGCGGACGAGAAUCAUACACAUUUCUUCCACCAGAACAUGGAGGCACUCUUCCCCAAUUUCCAUAGUCAAGCUCCCUAAUCUCAUAAUCCAAAUAGGGUAUAUGAGAACGACAUGUUG
This 1274-nucleotide long non-coding RNA is filed under the name Linum usitatissimum (flax). RNAcentral describes it as "long non-coding RNA (LUSI_LNC007491)". Lineage: Eukaryota; Viridiplantae; Streptophyta; Magnoliopsida; Malpighiales; Linaceae. The record is from RNAcentral.